Molecule: ribosomal RNA, 234 nt
Filed under: uncultured bacterium
Lineage: Bacteria
Description: partial 16S ribosomal RNA
Rfam family: Bacterial small subunit ribosomal RNA
Source: RNAcentral
CGAACGGGUGAGUAACAUAUCGGAACGUGCCCAGUAAUGGGGGAUAGCCCGGCGAAAGCCGGAUUAAUACCGCAUACGACCUACGGGUGAAAGCGGGGGACCUGCAAGGGCCUCGCGUUAUUGGAGCGGCCGAUACCAGAUUAGCUAGUUGGUGGGGUAAAGGCUCACCAAGCCUUCGAUCUGUAGCUGGUCUGAGAGGACGACCAGCCACACUGGGACUGAGACACGGCCCAG